This is a long non-coding RNA of Homo sapiens (human), 9697 nucleotides long. RefSeq lists it as uncharacterized. NCBI's taxonomy places the organism in Eukaryota, Metazoa, Chordata, Mammalia, Primates, Hominidae. The record is from RefSeq and is a predicted model, not a curated record. The transcript is spliced from 3 exons.
AGGGCUUUGAGCGGAAGCUGUCGACCUUGCACGGUGAUGGCGCUCCUCGUGAUCCCUUGUAUCCCCUCAGGCUCGAGCCAGGAGCCUAGGUCCACUUUGAAAAGUAGUAAAAGGCAGAAAGGUUCUGCGGUGUGAGGGGGAGGGCGGCUUCGUGGUCGGCUGGGUCGGGGGAGCGCCGGGCGGCCGCGGCGUGGCUGUGUCCGGGGCUGCCCUGCGCAGCCGGCCGUUUCGCCGCCUGGUGCACUUGCUGAGCUUCCGGCCUGGCCCGUCGCGGGGCUCCUGGCGCCCCCCUAGACGACUGUGUGGAGAAUGGAGCCUGCGGAGCCACGCGUAGAGAGAGGCCCGGAGCCGGCGCGGUGGCGGCGGGCGCCAGUGGUCCCAGCCACUCGGGAGGCCGAGGUGGAGUGUCGCUUGAGCCCAGGAGUUCCAGACAGGCCUGAGCAACAGAGCCAGACCCCGUCUCCACAAAGAAAGAAACAAAUGGGCCAGAGACCCAGAAUGCUUUCUGUAGCCUAACCUAAUGUUCAAAACCAGGGCAGACCCAAGCCAUGGAAAGCUUGAGGGAAUAAAAUAAUAUUCUGCUGCGGCCAAGAAUAACAAUGCUAAUUCCUGGAUAAGGGGAUUUAAAAUGAUGUUUAACAACUUCUGGUCUUUUAAUAUUGACCCAAGUUUAAAAACAUGUUCAUAUAAAAAAGUUACUGGAAGAAAUUUAUAAAUGUAACUGGUGGUUAUUUUUAGAUGACAGAAUUAAAAGUGAUCUUUUUGGUAUUUUUUCCACAACGAGCACGUGUCAUUUUUAUGUUAAUUUCAUUUUAUGCGAAAUGCUCCAGCGCAGUACAGGCUAGUGGGUUCAGGGUGGCUGUGACUAAGUAAUGUAGAUGGGGUACCUUAGACAAAGUUUCCAGACUAGAGGCUGGAAGUAAGAGGUCCGGGUGCCCUUUUCCACACUGCAGACCACGGACUUUUCCGGUUUCUGAACAAGUGAGACAGGCCGGCUAAGGACAUUUAUAAUCUCCAUGGGUGAGGGCCCCACCCUCAUGACCAUCUAAUCUUGAUUACCUCCCGAAGGCCCCACCUCCUAACUUCCUAAUACAAUCACUUCUUGGGGGAAGAGGGUGUUUGGAAUUCCACCCCCCGCCCUUUUUUUUUUUUGGAGACAGUCUCACUCUGCUGCUCAGGCUGGAGUGCAGUGGUGUGAUCUUGGCUCACUGCGACCUCCCCCUCCCAGGUUCAAGCCAUUCUGCCUCAGCCUCCAGAGCAGCUGGGAUUACAGGCCCAGCUAGUUUUUGUAUUUUUAGUAGAAACGGGUUUUCAUCAUUUUGGCCAGGCUGGUCUCGAACUCCUGACCUCAAGUGAACUGCCCGCCUUGGCCUCGCAAAGUGCUGGGAUCGUCAGAGGCAAGUGAACCAGAGCACCUUCAUCUUAAACAGGAGCUGGUGGACUCACCCUGAAUUCUUUCUUGCACGAGAUCCAAGAAUUCUCCCUUGGGAUCUGGACUGGACCCCUUUCCUGUAACAGAAUUACAGUUUUUGAGAUGGAGUUUCACUCUUCUUGCCCAGGCUGGAGUGCAAUGGUGCAAUCUCGGCUCACCGCAACCUCUGCCUCUCAGGUUCAAGCAAUUCUCCUGCCUCAGCCUCCCGACUAGCUGGGAUUACAGGUAUGUGCCACCACGCCCAGCUAAUUUUGUAUUUUUAGUAGAGAUGGGAUUUUUCCAUGUUGGUAAGGCUGAUGUUGAACUCCCAACCUCAGGUGAUGCUGCCCUCCUUGGCCUUCCAAAGUGCUGGGAUUAUAGGCGUGAGCCACUGCGCCCGGCACGAUUCCAUUUUGAUAUCAAAUACCUAGUGAAGAAUCACUCAGAUUACAAUUGCUUUUUUUUUUUUUUUUUUUUUGAGAUGGAGUCUCGCACUGUUGCCUGGGCUGGAGUGCAAUGGUGGGAUCUCAGCUCACUGCAACCUCCACCUCCCAGGUUCAAUCAAUUCUCCUGCCUCAGCCUCCCGAGUAACUGGGAUUACAGGCACCUGCCACCACGCCCAGCUAAUUUUUUGUAUUUUUAGUAGACACAGGGUUUCACUAUGUUGGCCAGGCUGGUCUCGAACACCUGGCCUCGUGAUCCGCCUGCCUCAGCCUCCCAAAGUGCUAGGAUUACAGGCAUGAGCCACCGCGCUCGGUCUACAAUCACGUUUUAUUAUUGGCUCGUCUAGUCAUGGGAUAGAGAAGGUAAAUAGCAAAAUAGAAAGAAAAGGGGGAAAAGGUAGAAGGCAAGGGGAAAACUAUUGGUUUUAGAUCUUUAUCCUGGUCCUGUCAAUGAUCAGGUAAUUGGAAGGAUCAAAAUUAGGCCAAACUUGGUAAUUGGGCCAAAAUUGAACCAAAGUUUGUGUCAAGAAGACCUGGGGCAGAGAUAUGUGACUAAAUCAUUUGGAAUAUGCCCAGACCCCAAGAAUAUUUAUGCCCAACUUGAAUGCUAACCAGAAGUCCCUUACUGUAGAAGAUUGUAAGGUUGCUAUUUUUUUGCCCCGACACCAAAAUAUUGAUGUAUUUUCCAACACCAAUUCUCCAAUUCUCUGACACCAACUCGAUGUUCAACAAUUCAGUUAUAUUCUGUCACUAAUUCCUGCAGCUAUCAGCAGGCCCCACAGGUAAAGGAUUCAGUCUCACAAGAUUGCCCCCCCACCCACUUCAGUUGCCAGCUACAAUGGGGUGCUCAGACCAUCCACACUUCUGCCUAGCUGACUGCAGAUUUAGGGAUUCCCAUGACUCUUUUCUCAGUUUUGGUAAUUUGCUAAAACUGCUCACAAAACUCAGGUAGACAUUUUACUUAACAUUUCCCAGUUUAUUAUAAAGGCUACAACUCAGAGACAGACAAAUGAAAGCAAUGCAUAGAGCAGGGUAUGUCGAGUAGUUGGUGGCACAGAACUUCCAGGCCCUCUCUAGGCAUACCACCCUCGCGGCACCUCCGUGUGUUCACUGACCCCGAAACUCAUUGCAUACCAUUCAGGAGGCUUUAUAACCCAUUUCCAGGCCCCUUCCAUCCGUGGGAGGCCAGUGGGUGAGGCUAAGAGUUCCCACCCUCUUUAGUCUUUCUAGUGACCAGAGGCUAGUUAGAACCACCCUAAGUCACUGCAGUAACAUAAACUCAGGUGUAGUACUAGAUAUGGUGGAAGAUGGCAUGUUAUGAGUAAAAGCAGAAACUCCCCUCACUCAGGAAAUUCCCAGGGUUUUAGGAGCCCUGUGCCAGGAAUAGAGUACAAAAAUCAAAUAGGUUUGUGUAUAUCACAGAAAUAUUCCAGGUAAACUGGAUGACUGUUUAGUCCAUUUGUGCUGCUGGAAUACAAUACCCGAGACGGGGUAAUCCAUAAAGAAUAGACAUUUAUUUCUCACAGUUUUGGAGGCUGUCUGAUGGGGGCCUGGUCUCCGCUUACAAGAUGGCACCUUGAACACUGCAUCCUACAGAGGGAGGAACAGUUUUCUUCACAUGGCCAAAGAAUUGUUGGGGGUGGGGACCAAACUGGCCUUUGUAUAAUGAACCCACUCCCACAAUAAUGGUAUUAACUCAUUCACAAGGGCAGAGUCCUCUUGGCCCAAUCACCACAUAAAGGGGCUACCUCUUGGCUGGGCGAGGUGGCUCACGCCUGUAAUCCCAGCAAUUUGGGAGGCCAAGGUGGGCAGAUCACGAGGUCAGGAGAUUGAGACCAUCCUGGCUAACACAGUGAAACCCCGUCUCUGCUAAAAAUAGCAAAAAAAAAAAAAAAAAAGCCAGGCGUGGUGGCAGGCACGUGUAGUCCCAGCUACCUGGGAGGCUGAGGCAGGAGAAUGGCGUAAACCUGGGAGGCGGAGCUUGCAGUGAGCCGAGAUUGCGCCACUGCACUCCAGCCUGGGCGACAGAGCGAGACUCCGUCUCAAAAAAAAAACAAAAAACAAAACAACAACAAGAAAAGGGCCACCUUUUAAUACUAUUACAAUGGCAGUAAGUUUCCAACACAUAGGCUUGCAGGGAACACAUUCAAACCAUUGCAAUGACCAAAUUAUAAGAAGAUUCUUCUGCUUUCUUGGACUCAAAAACAUGGACAUUUAUUUAUAAAUCACACCUGGCCAUCACCGAGUCCCCAGUUUGCCAACAAGAUAAUUCAAUCUGUAGCCCCCAACUUGGCAUCACAUCUCACCUCAGGAUGCACUUGUGAGAUGUUGUGUUGGGUUGUGCUCCACUGGGGAGCAGGGGGGUGCUCAAUCUGAAGGCUCACAAGCAAUGCACAACCAUGUUUGGUUAGAAACCUCUUGGGAAUAUUUGUAUGGAAAGAAGGUUCUAGAUGUGUUUUGGCAAGGCAAGGGUUUUCCCAACUUCAGUCUUCACCCUGUGAGAUUCUCGGGCUGCCAGUCCAGGGGUCUUUGUUCCUGGACCACAGGAGGUGAUAAUGCAAAUUAGAAUAAGAACAGCUGUUUGGUUUUUUUUGCAGGAAAGUGAAUCUUGAGUAGAGACACCCAGAGAUGGAAGGCAGAUAGAAUCACAGCAACCUUAGGUGACAGUAUAAGAAUUCUCGUUCCUGAGAAUUUUGGGUUUCUGUGGCUCUCUCCCCUUGGCUUGAUUGUUCAGAUUGACCAACAAUUUCAUGAGUUACUUACUACUGCUCCAGUGAGUUUCUUUUGUGCUCCAGUUAGGCCAAGGUUAAUACCUGCACCAAAUAACCAUAAUUGAUACUUUUUUCUGUUGUAUUGAAGUUAAUCAUUUAUAUGUUAGUCUUAACAUAUAAGGUUGUGUAUAUCCUGAGGGCAAGAUCAGGUCCUGUUCCUUUUUGUCUCUCCAGGGCCUGCACAAUGCUUGGCUUGUAGAAGGUACUGAAUAGCUCCUAAUUGUAUUAAUGGAUACGAUUUUUCUUUGUCUGAUCUUUGGCAAAUUCAUUUGUCUAUUACUUAAGUGGAUAUCUCUGUCCCCACCUACACUUUUCCUUCUGGUGCUACUUGGGAUCUUAAAUAGCCACAGAAAACCAAGUGAGAAGAGUGAGUGUGCUCUGAGGAUGGUUUUGAGGGACUCUUAUGAGGAUUAUAGUAAAAUAAUUUUAUGUUAUUUAUUCUCACUAUCCAGAUACCUUUUACUCUAAAUUUCUGCCAGCAUGCUGAUUUGUUGAGAUUUGCAACACUAGAAUUUUCCAGCAGAGCAGAGUAUUGCUAGAACUUGUAUCUCAAGCUUCUCUAGAACUGGCAACCUCCUUGGAGUGGCUCUUGAAGGCAAUGCCCUUUUCCCAGGUAGUGGCAAUGGGAAAUCACUUUUCUGAGUGUCGUGGACACAGGUGGGAAGCCUUCGAUUUCAGCCUAGGGUCAUCUCUUCUAUUCCAGGAAAUGUUGGCUGUUUUCCACUUAAACUUGUUCAUGCUUUUCAGGUCCCAGCUGUAGUCUUCAGAGAUAUUUGAAAAUUAGCUGGUCUAAAACAUGAUUCUGGCAACCAGUGAAAUGAUAAAGUAGAAACUAUUUAUAAAAACAAUACUUAAAUUACGUAUUUCAAAUAUGUAAAUUUAUUUGCUCUUUUAAAUUUUAUUUGUCCUUAGUGCUUUUUAAUCCAAAUCCAUUUUAAACUCCACUGUUAUAUUCCAACUUAUGUAGCAUUAUUCUGUGCUGUAGUUACACAUAAUAAAUUAGUUACUGUCAGUUUACUUCAUUAUGCUUUAGUGGUUUACUCUUUCUGAGAAUUCAAUGAAGGUUUACUUUCUAACAAUACCUACUAAAAUAUUACCAAAGUGAAGAGUAUCACCAAGGAGUAAGGAAUAACAGAGCCACAGGCAGCUCCAAGUCCCGCUUGUAGAGCUCCAGUCUCGGAACGUGGGAUUGCCAGACCUGCCAAGUGGCCCCUUCUGCGUCAGAGAAAAGCAGGCUCAAGGAAAAGGCAGACUUGAGGCCUAGCCUCUUAAUGUCCAUGUGAAAGCAAGAGGCCAGGUGAAGUUUUUGGAGAGGAGUGACUUGAGUACUAUUUUAUAUGAAAUGUUUACUCGGGAGACAGGUUUUUUUUCCCACGAGAUGAGGUGAGGAAGGCGCUUUUGUAUGAACUGAAUUUCAAAUCCUCAGGGCUCAUGGAUAUUUUUCCAUGGAAAAGGAGGUUGAGAAGGGAGUUCCCCAUGGGUGCUACCAGGAUGAAAAUUUGCCUAGAUGUCUUUAGCUGGGGAGAGGGAGUCUGAGAGUUAGUUACGCCCUGUGUGUGUGUGUGUGUGUGUGUGUGUGUGUGUGUGUGUGUAUGUAUGUGAUGGAGUCUCACUCUUUGUCCAGGCUGGAGUGCAGCAGCGCAAUCUCAGCUCACUGCAACCUCUGCCUCCUGGGUUCAAGUGAUUCUCCCGCCUCAGCUUCCCAAGUAGCUGAGAUUACAGGUGCCUGCCACAACACCCAGCUAAUUUUUGUACUUUUAGUAGAGACAGGGUUUUGCUAUAUUGGCCAGGCUGGUCUCAAACUCCUGAUGUCAAGUGGUCCACCUGCCUUGGCCUCCCAAACUGCUGGUGUGUCCGGAAUUGGUGGGUUCUUGGUCUCACUGACUUCAAGAAUGAAGCUGUGGACCCUCGUGGUGAGUGUUACAGCUCUUAAGGUGGCACGUCUGGAGUUUGUUCCUUCUGAUGUUCGGAUGUGUUCGGAGUUUGUUCCUUCUGGUGGGUUCGUGGUCUCGCUGGCUCAGGAGUGAAGCUGCAGACCUUCCAGGUGAGUGUUAACAGCUCUUAAGGCGGCACGUCUGGAGUUGUUCGUUCCUCCCGGUGGGCUCGUGGUCUCGCUGGCUUCAGGAGUGAAGCUGCAGACCUUGGCGGUGAGUGUUACAGCUCAUAAAAGCAGUGUGGACCCAAAGAGUGAGCAGUAGCAAGAUUUAUUGCAAAGAGCGAAAGAACAAAGCUUCCACAGUGUGGAAGGGGACCCAAGUGGUUUGCUACUGCUGGCUCCCGCAGCCUGCUUUUAUUCUCUUAUCUGGCCCCACCCACAUCCUGCUGAUUGGUAGAGCCCAGUGGUCUGUUUUGACAGGGCACUGAUUGGUGCGUUUACAAUCCCUGAGCUAGACACAAAGGUUCUCCACCUCCCCACCGGAUUAGCUAGAUAUAGAGUGUGGACACAAAGGGUCUCCAAGGCCCCACCAGAGUAGCUAGAUACAGAGUGUCGAUUGGUGCGUUCACAAACCCUGAGCUAGACACAGGGUGCUGAUUGGUGUGUUUACAAACCUUGAGCUAGGUACAGAGUGCCGAUUGGUGUAUUUACAAUCCCUGAGCUAGACAAAAGGUUCGCCACGUCCCCACCAGACUCAACCCAGCUGGCUUCACCCACUGGAUCGCGCACUGGGGCUGCAGGUGAAGCUGCCUGCCAGUCCUGCGCCCUGCGCCCGCUCUCCUCAGCCCUUGGGUGGUCGAUGGGACUGGGUGCCGUGGAGCAGGGGGCGGCACUUAUCGGGGAGACUCGGGCCCCACAGGAGCCCAUGGAGGGGGUGGGAGGCUCAGGCAUGGCGGGCUGCAGGUCCGGAGCCCUGCCCCGCGGGAAGGCAGCUAAGGCCCGGUGAGAAAUCGAGCGCAGCGCCGGUGGGCUGGCACUGCUGGGGACGCAGUACACCCUCCGCAGCCGCUGGCCCGGGUGCUAAGCCCCUCAUUGCCCAGGGCCGGCAGGGGCGGCCGGCAGCUGCGAGUGCAGGGCCCGCCAAGACCACGCCCACCCGGAACUCCAGCUGGCCUGUGGCGCGCAGCCCCAGUUCCCACCCGCGCCUCUCCCUCCACACCUCCCUGCAAGCUGAGGGAGCGGGCUCCGGCCUUGGCCAGCCCAGAAAGGGACUCCCACAGUGCAGCAGUGGGCUGAAGUGCUCCUCAAGUGCCGCCAAAGUGGGAGCCCAGGCAGAAGAGGCGCCCAGAGCGAGAGAGGGCUGUGAGGACUGCCAGCACACUGUCACCUCUCACUGGGAUUACAGGCGUGAGCCACUGCGCCUGAUCAGUUAUGCUGUAAAGAUUGAGAAAGUCUUGACCUGUUUCAUACUGCUAUAACAAAAUACCUGACACUGGGAAAUCUAUAAAGAACAGAAAUUUAUUGCAGUUCUGGAGGCUGGGGCAUCCAAGAUCAAGGCACCAGCAUCUGAUGAGAGCCUUGCUGCGUUCUCACGUGGCAGAAGAUAGAAGGGCAAAAGGGCAAAAACUCUCCUCACAUUGCAGAAGAGCAGAAUAGAGAGAACGCACUUCUGCAAGUCCUUUUUAGAACCACAUUAAUCUGUUCAUGAGGGCAGAGCCCUCAUGACCUAAGCACCUCCCAUUUAGGCUUCACCCGUCAACACUGCUGCACUGGGAUUAAUUUUCCAACUCCUGAAUUUUGGCGGACACAUUCACACCAUAGCAAACGAUCAUGAAGCCUCAACCCUAGUAUGUGCCAGAACCACCCAAAGGAUUUGUUACAAAUGCAGGUUCCUGGGGACCGCCCCCGAGGGAUUCUGAUUUAACAGAACCUGAAAACCCGCAUUCUUAAUAAGCACCCCAUGUGAUUUCGGGUUGUGGAUGUUCACUGGAUCACACUUUGAGAAAUGUCAUGACUGUGACUUUAACAGACUUAAGGUUUGUCCUCAAGAUUUUGUCUUGCAAACCUUUUGUUAGCCUUGGAAUAUAGUCAACAGCGAUCGAGAAGGGAAAUGAGGAGAUCCACAGGUUCCCUCUCCAACAUUAAUGUCCAUGUCAACUAGUAAAGCUUUGCAUACUGCCCCUGAACUCUUUGCCCUGAUGCUGGUUCUUCCUGAUUUCUGAGGACAGAUGGAAAUCCUGACAAAAGUGAGAAUGAGGACUGGAAACAGCAGAUAGGAUGAUAUGCAUUCCUGGUCACUACUUGUUGUCCUCCACAGCCCUUGGCCUCAGUGCUAGCUGUCUUCCUGCCAACAGGAUGAUACAACCAACAAGUAGAAAUGCUUGCGUGGCCUCUAAUGAAUUUUCAACAACAUGAUACAGAUCAAAAGCUCUUCUGUACACUGAUCAUGUGGGUGAGUUCAGAUUACACGUGGUUGCAUUUUAAUUCACUAAAUUGAAAAUUACAUUUUAUCUUUUGAAAUAUUUGUUCCCUUCAGUGAGUCAUUCUAAUAAAUGUAACCUGAAGGCCAACCGAUCCUUUCCUAAUUUAGACGACUUAGAAGGUUUAGCCAAUGUUGUUAAUGUACUUCUUUUGAGGCAGUGUUCCCUCCAAGUUCAAGGAGAAAUGAAGAAAAAUAUAUCUUUUGAAAAUAAGGUCUGGGGCGCCGUGGCUCAUGACUAUAAUCCCAGCACUUCAGGAGGUUGAGGUGAGAGGAUAGUUUGAACUCAGAAGGUCAAAACCAGCCUGAGCAACAUGGUGAAAUCUUGUCUCUAAUUAAAAAAAAAAUUAGCCAGGCAUGGUAGCAUGCACCUGUAGUCUCAGCAACUUGGGAGGCUGAGGCGGGACAAUCACUUGAGCUCAGGAGGUUGAGGCUGCAGUGAGCUAUGAUCAUGCCACUGCACUCCAGCCUGAGCAACAGAGUGAGACUCUGUCUUAAAAUAAAAAAAUAAGAAAAAGAAAAGAAAACAUAACACAUUUUUUUAAAAUCAGGAAGAUGUAAUGUAAAAGAAACACAUCAAUAAACUUAUUUUAGGAAUCAAAGUGACUUCAAGUGGGAAGUCUCUAACCCUACCAGCAAUGAGUCAUGUGUGCCAUGUUUGUACCAGAUUAUUUCUUCAAUGACAUUUAAAAUUAAAAGCAUUACCUGUGAAUACAA